This 489-nucleotide ribosomal RNA is filed under the name uncultured bacterium. RNAcentral describes it as "bacterial SSU rRNA". It matches the Rfam family "Bacterial small subunit ribosomal RNA", at positions 28 to 507 of the family's 1533-position model. The record is from RNAcentral.
GAUGAACGCUAGCGACAGGCCUAACACAUGCAAGGUCGAGGGGCAGCACAUGAGUAAGCAAUACGAUGGUGGCGACCGGCGCACGGGUGAGUAACACGUAUGCAACCUGCCUGUAAGAGGGGAAUAACCCGGAGAAAUUCGGACUAAUACCGCAUAAUACCACGAGACUGCAUGGUUUUGUGGUUAAACAUUUAUGGCUUACAGAUGGGCAUGCGUAUGAUUAGAUAGUUGGUAGGGUAACGGCCUACCAAGUCUACGAUCAUUAGGGGUUCUGAGAGGAAGGUCCCCCACACUGGUACUGAGACACGGACCAGACUCCUACGGGAGGCAGCAGUGAGGAAUAUUGGUCAAUGGGCGAGAGCCUGAACCAGCCAAGUCGCGUGAAGGAAGAAGGUUCUAUGGAUUGUAAACUUCUUUUGCAGGGGAAUAAAGGACGGUACGUGUACUGUUUUGUAUGUACCUUGCGAAUAAGGAUCGGCUAACUCCGUG